CUCCUGGGUGGGUAAACGAUUGUCCCUCUUCCUGCGGAGGUAUCGUUUCGGAGUUUACAACUCCCAAACCCAAUGUGAACGUUACCAAACUGUUGCCUCGGCGGGGUCACGCCCCGGGUGCGUCGCAGCCCCGGAACCAGGCGCCCGCCGGAGGAACCAACCAAACUCUUUCUGUAGUCCCCUCGCGGACGUAUUUCUUACAGCUCUGAGCAAAAAUUCAAAAUGAAUCAAAACUUUCAACAACGGAUCUCUUGGUUCUGGCAUCGAUGAAGAACGCAGCGAAAUGCGAUAAGUAAUGUGAAUUGCAGAAUUCAGUGAAUCAUCGAAUCUUUGAACGCACAUUGCGCCCGCCAGUAUUCUGGCGGGCAUGCCUGUCCGAGCGUCAUUUCAACCCUCGAACCCCUCCGGGGGAUCGGCGUUGGGGAUCGGGACCCCUCACACGGGUGCCGGCCCCGAAAUACAGUGGCGGUCUCGCCGCAGCCUCUCCUGCGCAGUAGUUUGCACAACUCGCACCGGGAGCGCGGCGCGUCCACGUCCGUAAAACACCCAACUUUCUGAAAUGUGACCUCGGAUCAGGUAGGAAUACCCGCGAACUAGCUCU
RNAcentral lists this ribosomal RNA (601 nucleotides) under Trichoderma asperellum. Its description in RNAcentral is "eukaryotic LSU rRNA". The stretch from base 232 to 385 matches the Rfam family "5.8S ribosomal RNA". The record is from RNAcentral. Lineage: Eukaryota; Fungi; Ascomycota; Sordariomycetes; Hypocreales; Hypocreaceae.